CUUCCAAAUUAGGCAAAAUAUAGAAAAGCACUUUGCAUCAGUCCAUCAGGAAGCACCGAGACUGGUAAGAAAAGCAGAGAACUGCUCUGUUUCCUCUGGAAUGAAGUUUCCUGUACUGAGUAUGUGAGCUGCUGUUUUCAGUUCUACCAUGUGCAGAAUAGAGGUAACAUUUGCAGUAUCCAGAGAUUAGGAAAUGGACAAUCUUUAGGGGUCAAGUCAGCCCAUCACAGCUAGAUUUUUAUUAUCGAAUACAUUUUCAAAGAAGAGAAAUAAAUGAUUUAGUACAUGCAUGUACUUCAGGUACAAACAGCUUGAAAUGCUUUGUCUUUAUGGCUUUCACAACUGUUAUUUUAUGAAUUAAAAGCUAUUACUCAUUAAUAACAACUUUAUUUGUUUUAAAGUUCUUGGAUCAUGACUUUUGUUUAUCUUCUAAUGACUGUACUACUACUAUCACAUACUCUGAUG
Molecule: long non-coding RNA, 465 nt
Filed under: Callithrix jacchus (white-tufted-ear marmoset)
Lineage: Eukaryota; Metazoa; Chordata; Mammalia; Primates; Cebidae
Description: lncRNA (ENSCJAG00000079654.1)
Source: RNAcentral